AGAAUCAACGCUGGCGGCGUGCCUCAGACAUGCAAGUCGAACGCGAAAGUCCCCUUCGGGGACAAGUAGGGUGGCGCACGGGUGAGUAACACGUAGGUAAUCUACCUUCGGAUGGGGAAUAACAACCGGAAACGGUUGCUAAUACCGCAUAAUGCAGCGGCACCUAAUGGUGACAGUUGUUAAAGCGGGGGAUCGAAAGACCUCGCGUCUGAAGAGGAGCCUGCGGCGGAUUAGCUAGUUGGUAGGUAACGGCCUACCAAGGCGACGAUCCGUA
This 274-nucleotide ribosomal RNA is filed under the name uncultured soil bacterium. RNAcentral's name for it is "partial 16S ribosomal RNA". It matches the Rfam family "Bacterial small subunit ribosomal RNA", at positions 26 to 285 of the family's 1533-position model. The record is from RNAcentral.